CCCUUAUCAAGAGUGGUCGAGGGUGAAGGCCCAAAGACGCCACGGCAACGGUUCGAAAAACUCGAGAUACGUGCCAAAGCCUGUUUCAAUAAAAUGUUGAAACACGAUAAGAG
Molecule: non-coding RNA, 113 nt
Filed under: bacterium F11
Lineage: Bacteria
Description: Bacterium F11 SAM-I sequence
Rfam family: SAM riboswitch aptamer (S box leader)
About the family: The SAM riboswitch is found upstream of a number of genes which code for proteins involved in methionine or cysteine biosynthesis in Gram-positive bacteria. The SAM riboswitch acts at the level of transcription termination control.
Source: Rfam by way of RNAcentral